GGGGCCUUCGGGUUACGGAGCGGCGAACGGGUGAGUAACACGUGAACAAUCUACCCUCUCAUUCCGGAUAAUUGGCUGAAAAGCCUUGUAAUACGGGUGGGGUUGCGGUUUUGGCAUCAUUACCGUAACGAACAGGCAACUGGUGCGAGGAGGAGUUCGCGGAUUAUCAGGUAGUUGGUGGGGUAACGGCCUACCAAGCCUACGACGAUUAGCUGGUCUGAGAGGAUGGUCAGCCACAUUGGAACUGAGAUACUGUCCAGACUCCUACGGGAGGCUGCAGUCGAGAAUCUUGGGCAAUGCACGAAAGUGUGACCCAGCGACGCCGCGUGAAGGAUGAAGGCCCUCUGGGUUGUAAACUUCUUUUACGGGAGAAGAAACAAUGACGGUAUCCCGUGAAUAAGCCACGGCUAACUACGUGCCAGCAGCCGC
Molecule: ribosomal RNA, 429 nt
Filed under: uncultured Bacteroidota bacterium
Lineage: Bacteria; Pseudomonadati; Bacteroidota
Description: bacterial SSU rRNA
Rfam family: Bacterial small subunit ribosomal RNA
Source: RNAcentral